This 76-nucleotide transfer RNA is filed under the name Lentisphaerota bacterium. RNAcentral's name for it is "Lentisphaerae bacterium (feces metagenome) tRNA-Glu". It matches the Rfam family "tRNA". Rfam says of the family: Transfer RNA (tRNA) molecules are approximately 80 nucleotides in length. Their secondary structure includes four short double-helical elements and three loops (D, anti-codon, and T loops). Further hydrogen bonds mediate the characteristic L-shaped molecular structure. tRNAs have two regions of fundamental functional importance: the anti-codon, which is responsible for specific mRNA codon recognition, and the 3' end, to which the tRNAs corresponding amino acid is attached (by aminoacyl-tRNA synthetases). tRNAs cope with the degeneracy of the genetic code in two manners: having more than one tRNA (with a specific anti-codon) for a particular amino acid; and 'wobble' base-pairing, i.e. permitting non-standard base-pairing at the 3rd anti-codon position. RNAcentral also lists the same sequence under 2 other names. Lineage: Bacteria; Pseudomonadati; Lentisphaerota. The record is from RNAcentral.
GUCCCUAUCGUCUAGAGGCCUAGGACACCGGGUUUUCAUCCCGGCAACCAGGGUUCGAAUCCCUGUGGGGAUGCCA